Cordylochernes scorpioides is the source of this 73-nucleotide non-coding RNA. The record is from the annotation of a GenBank genome assembly. NCBI's taxonomy places the organism in Eukaryota, Metazoa, Arthropoda, Arachnida, Pseudoscorpiones, Chernetidae.
GGUUCCCGCCCGGGAUCGAACCGGGGACCUUGUGCCUUGAAGCACAUGUGAUAUCCACUUCAACCACGGGAAC